CUACGUGCCAGCAGCCGCGGUAAUACGGAAGGUCCGGGCGUUAUCCGGAUUUAUUGGGUUUAAAGGGAGCGUAGGCUGGAGAUUAAGUGUGUUGUGAAAUGUAGACGCUCAACGUCUGACUUGCAGCGCAUACUGGUUUCCUUGAGUACGCACAACGUUGGCGGAAUUCGUCGUGUAGCGGUGAAAUGCUUAGAUAUGACGAAGAACUCCGAUUGCGAAGGCAGCUGACGGGAGCGCAACUGACGCUGAAGCUCGAAGGUGCGGGUAUCGAACAGGAUUAGAUACCCUGGUAGUCCGCACAGUAAACGAUGGAUGCCCGCUGUUGGUACGUGGUAUCAGCGGCUAAGCGAAAGCAUUAAGCAUCCCACCUGGGGAGUACGCCGGCAACGGUGAAACUCAAAGGAAUUGACGGGGGCCCGCACAAGCGGAGGAACAUGUGGUUUAAUUCGAUGAUACGCGAGGAACCUUACCCGGGCUUGAA
This 481-nucleotide ribosomal RNA is filed under the name uncultured bacterium. RNAcentral describes it as "bacterial SSU rRNA". It matches the Rfam family "Bacterial small subunit ribosomal RNA", at positions 501 to 985 of the family's 1533-position model. The record is from RNAcentral.